UACCAGACUCCUACGGGAGGCAGCAGUGGGGAAUAUUGCACAAUGGGGGGAACCCUGAUGCAGCAAUGCCGCGUGAAGGAUGAAGGUUUUCGGAUUGUAAACUUCUUUUGCACGGGACGAAGAAAGUGACGGUACCGUAAGAAUAAGCCACGGCUAACUACGUGCCAGCAGCCGCGGUAAUACGUAGGUGGCAAGCGUUAUCCGGAUUUACUGGGUGUAAAGGGCGAGUAGGCGGGAUUGCAAGUCAGAUGUGAAAACUAUGGGCUCAACCGAUAGCCUGCAUUUGAAACUGUACUUCUUGAGUGCUGGAGAGGCAAUCGGAAUUCCGUGUGUAGCGGUGAAAUGCGUAGAUAUACGGAGGAACACCAGUGGCGAAGGCGGAUUGCUGGACAGUAACUGACGCUGAGGCGCGAAAGCGUGGGGAGCAAACAGGAUUAGAUACCCUAGUA
Molecule: ribosomal RNA, 449 nt
Filed under: uncultured bacterium
Lineage: Bacteria
Description: bacterial SSU rRNA
Rfam family: Bacterial small subunit ribosomal RNA
Source: RNAcentral